UUGAAAGGGAAACGAUUGAAGUCAGUCGUACCGACGAGAAAUCAGCUUUUCGAAUGUGCAUUUGUGGGCGUAUGAGAUCUUCAUUGUUUGCAAUAUGUAUAUUUCUUUGGUGUACUUUUUCGUAUGGUAGGUCAAUGUCGGUUUUGAUCGCCAUAAAAUGAUCGGAGGAAUGUAGCUUCGGCUUCGGUUGAAGUGUUAUAGCCUUUGGUAAAUGUGAUGAUUAGGAUCGAGGAUUGCAACGAAUACCCUUUUGGGCUAUCCGCCUGAUCUCUGAUACGUGGCCUUGGUAUCGAAAGCUUGCUUAUGGUAUUGAGGUAUUACGGUCAAAAGGUUAGAACGGAUUACAUCGUUAAGGAUGUUGACGUA
RNAcentral lists this ribosomal RNA (366 nucleotides) under uncultured Glomeromycotina. RNAcentral's name for it is "LSU rRNA". Lineage: Eukaryota; Fungi; Glomeromycota. The record is from RNAcentral.